UUUCGAACGCGCGCAUGCGCGCUCGCUCUCGUCGCGUAGGACCGUAGCGCGUCGCGCGCCGGGCCCUGGCUGUCGGUUCGCCAUCUCUUCAUCUGUCCUCAGCGGUCAUCUAGACUUUUUGCAUGGCGUCCACGACUUGAGCAUUUUUUUUUCCUUUUCACGACGAAUCCAAAUGUCAUUAGCUGCAACACUAAAAACGAGAGUUACCAGGGCCGCGCGAAAUGCGACCGGACGAUCGUCCUGGAAUGCAGCCCGACUGAUCUCUGGAUCUUGUCUCCCGUUCACGACGUUUCCCGCGCAAAUCGCAGAAACGGUCCGCUCCUUACAAGUUCCUACGCGAUUGCAUUUCGAUAUUUUUGCGUGAAAUAAUAUUCGUGAAGGAUCCAAUUAUUCUUUCGACAUGGAAAAUUAAAUCUUGUGGAAAAAGAUACGUUUCAUCGAAUAAUCUACUCGACGCGAUCCAAUUAAUAAAGCUUCGAGAAUUGAAGUUACCGAAAAUCGACGAGUGAAUAUGUGGAACAAUGAUGGGAAUAAUUCUGUUUGAAUUUACUUAAUUAAUUAUGAAUGACUUACAUUGGCGGUAACGUUGUUAAACGGAGUAUAUGUAUCGUCAGUACAUUAUGUUUGCGAUACAAAUAUUUGCAUUGUGUUCAAAUAUCGUCGUCAGAAACGUCAAACUCUGUUAUAUCGGG
Camponotus floridanus (Florida carpenter ant) is the source of this 692-nucleotide long non-coding RNA. RefSeq lists it as uncharacterized. The record is from RefSeq and is a predicted model, not a curated record. The transcript has 4 exons. NCBI's taxonomy places the organism in Eukaryota, Metazoa, Arthropoda, Insecta, Hymenoptera, Formicidae.